Molecule: ribosomal RNA, 328 nt
Filed under: Corbicula sp. CR24b
Lineage: Eukaryota; Metazoa; Mollusca; Bivalvia; Venerida; Cyrenidae
Description: partial 28S ribosomal RNA
Source: RNAcentral
CCGGCCGCCAGCGGCGCUCGCAAAGUUCGGAUCCGCAAGGACCGGGCCAGCGGGACGUCCGCGUGGCAGGGUGCACUUUCUCCGCGGUCGAGUGCUACGACCGGUUUCGGGGCGGUCAGAAGCCCGGCGGAAAAGGAAGGCCCCCCCCCCGGGGGUGUCGUGUUAUAGGCCGCCGCGGUGGACUCGCCGCGAGACCGAGGACGCUUGCCGCGCCGAGCGGUCCCGGGCCGUCUGGGGAGGUUCGACCUCGGCUGCACUGCUCCGCAGAGCACCGUAACCGCCGCCCCAGCACGGGUCCGGAGACCGCCGGCGCCUCGGGUCAGUAGCG